GCUGCUUAAUACCCCUGUGGGGACCGAGGUUCGCGCUCUGCAAGGACGCUGGCAUAAUGGUCAUCAGCGAC
RNAcentral lists this ribosomal RNA (71 nucleotides) under Coniochaeta prunicola. RNAcentral describes it as "partial 28S ribosomal RNA". The record is from RNAcentral. Lineage: Eukaryota; Fungi; Ascomycota; Sordariomycetes; Coniochaetales; Coniochaetaceae.